AAUAAAUCAAUAUUUCACUUUUUACCGAUAAUGUUUGACUCUUCGUUUUAUUUGAAAAAAUUACGAUUAAUAUUUUUGUUUUUAUUGGAUGAUAAAUUAUAAAUAGUACUUUAAGUGUGACUAAUAUUUUAGAAAAAUUUAAAUUUUUCUAAAUAAGACGGACGGUCAAACGCUGGAUACGAAAAU
RNAcentral lists this microRNA precursor (186 nucleotides) under Oryza brachyantha (malo sina). RNAcentral describes it as "MIR812 microRNA precursor family". It matches the Rfam family "MIR812 microRNA precursor family". Lineage: Eukaryota; Viridiplantae; Streptophyta; Magnoliopsida; Poales; Poaceae. The record is from Rfam by way of RNAcentral.